GACGAACGCUGGCGGCGUGCCUAACACAUGCAAGUCGAACGGAGCAGAUCCCUUCGGGGGUUUGCUCAGUGGCGAACGGGUGAGUAACGCGUGAGGAACCUGCCUUUCAGUGGGGGCGAACAGUUGGAACGACUGCUAAUACCGCAUAAUGCUUUGUAGCGGCAUCGCUUGAAAGACCAAAGAUUUAUCGCUGAAAGAUGGUCUCGCGUCUGAUUAGCUAGUUGGUGAGGUAACGGCUCACCAAGGCGACGAUCAGUAGCCGGUCUGAGAGGAUGAACGGCCACAUUGGGACUGAGAUACGGCCCAG
Molecule: ribosomal RNA, 307 nt
Filed under: uncultured bacterium
Lineage: Bacteria
Description: bacterial SSU rRNA
Rfam family: Bacterial small subunit ribosomal RNA
Source: RNAcentral